RNAcentral lists this ribosomal RNA (253 nucleotides) under uncultured bacterium. RNAcentral's name for it is "partial 16S ribosomal RNA". It matches the Rfam family "Bacterial small subunit ribosomal RNA", at positions 524 to 776 of the family's 1533-position model. The record is from RNAcentral.
UACGGGGGAGCAAGCGUUGUUCGGAUUUACUGGGCGUAAAGGGCGCGUAGGCGGUCGUGACAAGUCACUUGUGAAAUCUCCGGGCUUAACUCGGAACGGUCAAGUGAUACUGUCGGACUAGAGUACAGAAGGGGCAACUGGAAUUCUCGGUGUAGCGGUGAAAUGCGUAGAUAUCGAGAGGAACACCCGUGGCGGAAGGCGGCUCUCUGGACGGUACUGACGCUGAGACGCGAAAGCGUGGGGAGCGAACAGG